Molecule: ribosomal RNA, 484 nt
Filed under: uncultured bacterium
Lineage: Bacteria
Description: partial 16S ribosomal RNA
Rfam family: Bacterial small subunit ribosomal RNA
Source: RNAcentral
AUUGAACGCUGGCGGCAUGCUUUACACAUGCAAGUCGAACGGCAGCGCGGGCUUCGGCCUGGCGGCGAGUGGCGAACGGGUGAGUAAUACAUCGGAACGUGCCCAGUAGUGGGGGAUAGCUCGGCGAAAGCCGGAUUAAUACCGCAUACGACCUGAGGGUGAAAGCGGGGGAUCUUCGGACCUCGCGCUAUUGGAGCGGCCGAUGGCAGAUUAGCUAGUUGGUGGAGUAAAGGCCUACCAAGGCGACGAUCUGUAGCUGGUCUGAGAGGACGACCAGCCACACUGGGACUGAGACACGGCCCAGACUCCUACGGGAGGCAGCAGUGGGGAAUUUUGGACAAUGGGCGAAAGCCUGAUCCAGCAAUGCCGCGUGUGUGAUGAAGGCCUUCGGGUUGUAAAGCACUUUUGGCGGGAACGAAAAGGACUGUGCCAAUACCACGGUUCGAUGACGGUACCCGCAGAAUAAGCACCGGCUAACUACGUG